This 561-nucleotide ribosomal RNA is filed under the name Triticum aestivum (bread wheat). RNAcentral's name for it is "partial small subunit ribosomal RNA". Lineage: Eukaryota; Viridiplantae; Streptophyta; Magnoliopsida; Poales; Poaceae. The record is from RNAcentral.
AUGAACAAGAUCAGGACCGGCGAGCUGGUGUCGCUGUCGGAGCAGCAGCUCGUGGACUGCGACACCGGGAGCAGCGGCUGCAGCGGCGGGCGCUCCGACACGGCGCUCGGCCUCGCGGCAGCCCGCGGCGGCCUCACAUCGGAGGCCAAGUACCCGUACAGCGGCAUGCAGGGCAGCUGUGACGUGGACAAGCAGCUGUUCGACAACGAGGUGUCCGUCAAGGGCUUCAAGGCCGUGCCGCCCAACGACGAGCAUCAGCUGGCGCUUGCCGUGGCGAUGCAGCCCGUGACGGUGUACAUCGACGCCAGCGCGUGGGAGUUUCAGUUCUACACCGGCGGCAUCUACCGCGGCCCUUGCUCCUCCGACGCGGCGAGGGUGAACCACGCCGUCACCAUCGUCGGCUACUGCGAAGGCCCCGGCGAGAACAACAAGUACUGGAUCGCCAAGAACUCGUGGAGCAACGACUGGGGUGACCAGGGCUACAUUUACCUCGCCAAGGACGUGUCAUGGCGGACGGGCACCUGCGGCCUCGCCACCUCGCCCUUCUACCCGACAGUUUGA